AAAACUUUAAGUUAAAUAAACUAAGAGCCUUCAAAGCCCUAAAUGAAUAAAUUUCAAGUUUUG
Molecule: transfer RNA, 63 nt
Filed under: Sternaspis buzhinskajae
Lineage: Eukaryota; Metazoa; Annelida; Polychaeta; Terebellida; Sternaspidae
Description: tRNA-Trp
Source: RNAcentral